RNAcentral lists this ribosomal RNA (359 nucleotides) under uncultured bacterium. RNAcentral's name for it is "bacterial SSU rRNA". It matches the Rfam family "Bacterial small subunit ribosomal RNA", at positions 32 to 369 of the family's 1533-position model. The record is from RNAcentral.
AAUCAACGCUGGCGGCGUGCCUCAGACAUGCAAGUCGAACGCGAAAGUUUCCUUCGGGAGAUGAGUAGAGUGGCGCACGGGUGAGUAACACGUAGGUAAUUUGCCUUUGGGUGGGGAAUACCAACCGGAAACGGUUGUUAAUACCGCAUAAUGCAGCGGCAUCAUAAGAUGACAGUUGUUAAAGCGGGGGAUUCGUAAGAACCUCGCGCCUAAAGAGGAGCCUGCGGCGGAUUAGGUAGNGGUGAGGUAAUGGCUCACCAAGCCUGCGAUCCGUAACCGACCUGAGAGGGUGGUCGGUCACACUGACACUGACAUACGGGUCAGACUCCUACGGGAGGCAGCAGUCGGGAAUUUUGGGC